ACAUACGACCAUAGGCAGUAGAAAACUCGGGAUCCCGUCCGCUCUCCCUUAGAUAAGCUACUGACCGCCGAACUAGUANUNNGGUCGGUGACGACCAGCGAAUCCUCGGUGUUGUAAUCU
RNAcentral lists this ribosomal RNA (120 nucleotides) under Madurella mycetomatis. The record is from RNAcentral. Lineage: Eukaryota; Fungi; Ascomycota; Sordariomycetes; Sordariales.